Molecule: non-coding RNA, 168 nt
Organism: Cajanus cajan (pigeon pea)
Lineage: Eukaryota; Viridiplantae; Streptophyta; Magnoliopsida; Fabales; Fabaceae
Source: Rfam
ACGCACUUUGUAUUGUUGUGGGUCUCUCUGAUUAUGUGGAGCGGACUUUGAACAAUGGUGCGGAAAGUGAGAGCUGUUUAGUCAGCAGGCAGCCAGACAACUGCCGAGGUGGAUCCACAGAUGAACGGAUUUUUAAUGCUGUUUGUCUACUAAUUCCACCUUACAUUU